AGGCAGCAGUAGGGAAUUUUCCACAAUGGACGAAAGUCUGAUGGAGCAACGCCGCGUGAACGAUGAAGGCUUUCGGGUCGUAAAGUUCUGUUGUUAGGGAAGAAACAGUGCUAUUUAAAUAAGAUGGAACCUUGACGGUACCUAACGAGAAAGCCACGGCUAACUACGUGCCAGCAGCCGCGGUAAUACGUAGGUGGCAAGCGUUGUCCGGAAUUAUUGGGCGUAAAGCGCGCGCAGGUGGCUAUGUAAGUCUGA
This 255-nucleotide ribosomal RNA is filed under the name Brevibacillus laterosporus. Its description in RNAcentral is "partial 16S ribosomal RNA". It matches the Rfam family "Bacterial small subunit ribosomal RNA", at positions 346 to 592 of the family's 1533-position model. The record is from RNAcentral. RNAcentral also lists the same sequence under 1 other name. Lineage: Bacteria; Bacillati; Bacillota; Bacilli; Caryophanales; Paenibacillaceae.